UAGCAGCACAUAAUGGUUUGUGGAAUAUAAGAAGAUGCAGGCCAUAUUGUGCUGCCUCA
Molecule: microRNA precursor, 59 nt
Filed under: Microcaecilia unicolor
Lineage: Eukaryota; Metazoa; Chordata; Amphibia; Gymnophiona; Siphonopidae
Description: Mun-Mir-15-P1a_pre stem-loop
Source: RNAcentral